CUCCGCCGCGAUCGACGCCAGCGAAGUGAACAAAUUUAGCGUCUCCGUUGACCGUUGUGAUGAGUUCGUGGUUGCGCGAGGAGCCAUCAGCCCAUCAAUGGUCGCGUUAAUGGUUACAUGGCCAGGGUGGUGGUUAAGGUGAGCGGGAGCAUCCACCGCAAGAUCUGUUCCUUCGGUGAUGCGGCGGCGCAUAAGCUUGACAGAUCUUUGAUGGCGGAGCUUCGAAAUGAGGUGGUGCUGUGAUGAAGGUGGCGCCGGUGAUCGCCUUGUCGCAACAGCCGUCGGAGAUGGGAAAAGAGAGAAAUGGAAUGGAGGACCGAGUGGCGGUGGCUGAGGUGGAGAAAUAAUAAGCGGCGAAG
Molecule: long non-coding RNA, 359 nt
Organism: Spinacia oleracea (spinach)
Lineage: Eukaryota; Viridiplantae; Streptophyta; Magnoliopsida; Caryophyllales; Amaranthaceae
Exons: 3
Source: RefSeq, a predicted model, not a curated record